Caldicellulosiruptor saccharolyticus DSM 8903 is the source of this 93-nucleotide non-coding RNA. The record is from Rfam. NCBI's taxonomy places the organism in Bacteria, Bacillati, Bacillota, Caldicellulosiruptorales, Caldicellulosiruptoraceae.
AAAGUAAAAAGUGGUCAGAAAAGAGCAAAAAGUUUGCUCUUUUCGGGCCUGAGCAAAAUCAGGCAGCAGGAGAGAAAAGCCUGCGGGACCCAU